This is a long non-coding RNA of Bos taurus (domestic cattle), 622 nucleotides long. Lineage: Eukaryota; Metazoa; Chordata; Mammalia; Artiodactyla; Bovidae. The record is from Ensembl.
GGCUGUGCUGGGUCUUCGUGGCUGCGCACAGGCUGUGUCUAGUUUUGGCGGGUCGGAGCUGCUGCUUGUUGCAGUAUGGGGCUUCUCAUUGUGGAGCACAGGCUCUCAGGUGUUCAAGCUUAAGUAGUUGUGGUUCACAGGCUCUGGAGCAUGGGGUCAGUAGUUGUGGCCCACGGGCUUAGUUUCUCCAUGGCAUGUGGGAUCCUCCUGGUCCAAGGAUCAAACCUGUGUCCCCUGCAUUGGCAGGCAGAUUCUUAUCCAUUGUACCACCAGGGAAGACCCUGAGUGUUUCUUUAAGAAGGUCAUUAAAAUGCUCCGUGAGACCAGCUGCCUGCAGGCCUAACGUGAAUGGAAGAUCCAAAGAGUGUUAGAUUGCAGAGGCCACUGUGGAAUCUCCUGAGAGGUCUCCUGGUCAGAGUCUGUGAUGUCUGUCCAUCCAAAGCGAACAGGCAUAAAGAAGAAAGAGAGAACCUAUUUAGAAGAGGAGUUCUGGUUGGGGGUUGCCAAAAGGAGGCUCUGAUAUUGAAAAGUCCUUGCAUCUCGGGGAUGAAUCCACUUGAUCAUGGUGUAUGAUCUUUUUAAGUUUUGAUAUCAGAUGGUGGCCUCACAGAAUGAGCUUGGA